Molecule: ribosomal RNA, 492 nt
Filed under: uncultured bacterium
Lineage: Bacteria
Description: partial 16S ribosomal RNA
Rfam family: Bacterial small subunit ribosomal RNA
Source: RNAcentral
AGUGAACGCUGGCGGUAGGCCUAACACAUGCAAGUCGAACGGCAGCACCGUCAGAGCUUGCUCUUACGGGUGGCGAGUGGUGGACGGGUGAGGAAUACAUCGGAAUUUACUUUUUCGUGGGGGAUGACGUAGGGAAACUUACGCUAUUACAGCAUCCGACCUACGGGUGAAAGCAGGGGAUCUUCGGACCUUGCGCGAUUGUAUGAGCCGAUGUCGGAUUAGCUAGUCGGCGGGGUAAAGGCCCACCAAGGCGACGAUCCGUAGCUGGUCUGCGAGGAUGAGCAGCCACACUGGAACUGAGACACGGUCCAGACUCCUACGGGAGGCAGCAGUGGGGAAUAUUGGACAAGGGGCGCAAGCCGGAUCCAGCCAUACCGCGUGGGUGAAGAAGGCCUUCGGGUUGGAAAGCCCUUUUGUUGGGAAAGAAAAGCAGCAGGUUAAGACCCCGCUGUGCUGACGGUACCCAAAGAAUAAGCACCGGCUAACUUCGUG